This is a long non-coding RNA of Gasterosteus aculeatus aculeatus (three-spined stickleback), 1143 nucleotides long. The record is from Ensembl. NCBI's taxonomy places the organism in Eukaryota, Metazoa, Chordata, Actinopteri, Perciformes, Gasterosteidae.
GGCUGGAGAAGCCAGUGAGCUGCUCGUCAGGGAGGCCCAAAUCAUGUGUGAGCCAUACCAGGUGGAGGAGCCUCAAAGUAACUCCAGGCUGGCAUUAGAAGCCAUUGCUGUUUAGUGUUGCUUGUUCAGUUCUGGUCUGGAGUUUCUUCAUGUUGGUAAUACUAGUUUGCAGAUGAUUACUUUUGGCUGCUAUGGCUGGUUCUACACCUGCAGAAUCAAGAUGACCAAUGGAAAAACUAAAACUUCCAAGGUUCGGAAGUUCGGGUUGGUUCAAUAUGCAUUGGGCAAGAAACCCAGUGGAGACCGUGGUGCCAUGAAAGCAAACAAAAGGACGGUCCAGAGAGGUGGUCGAGCAGUUUCAGCCUCCUAUGACGGUGGAAAUUACCAGCAGUCUUUAGUGAUUUGAGUGAACGCUUUUUGCUCGUACAGGGAAACUGCGAUCAAUGUUCGACAUUCCGGUUGGGUAAAGUAGUUGUGUGAUUCCAUGCAGGACGGUCCAGAGAAGACAACAGGAUCCUGCCUUGGGCUCCCUGGGAGCGGCCAAGCAACUUCAGCCUCCUGUGAAAAUUGAGAGGGAAGACCCUUUCUCAGUACUGCUUUUCAUGUCAUGCUGUGUGAAAAGUCUAAUAAAAUGUUAGAAUGCCUGACUGUUGGUUAACUGCAUCUGCUGCUAAUAUGUACUGAACUAAUCAAGUUUUUAUCUGCGCUUUCCCAGUGUGUAAAAAGAUGCAUCCUUGUGAGUGUUUAAAUAUUUCUUGUUUGCUAAAGUACUGUUGUGCUACCACACAGGAUGAUUCAGAGAACACUACAUGCUCCUGCUUCAGGGGCAAGCAGCUUUAGCCUCCUUUGGAAAUUGCCAAAUGCUCCUGCCAAAUUAGCGAUUUGACUAACGGGUAAGACUUUUUUUUCCCAGUAAUGGUUAUGUAAUGCUUGUCAUGCAGGCUGUGUGACGGGUCUAGAAAAAUGUUUUAAAUGGUAUGAUUGCAUAAUGUACUUGCGGUGCUUCUUGUCUUUGGUUGUAUUUCCUGAACUAUUCGGUUUUAACGAUUUUCCAUUCGCCAAUGUUUUAGGUGAAAGAUUGUGUUAGUGUUUAAGACUGUUCUGAAUAAGUUGCAUGAAGUAGUCUUGUUAUUUCUUGCAAAA